Molecule: long non-coding RNA, 428 nt
Filed under: Nicotiana tabacum (common tobacco)
Lineage: Eukaryota; Viridiplantae; Streptophyta; Magnoliopsida; Solanales; Solanaceae
Description: long non-coding RNA (NTAB_LNC005356)
Source: RNAcentral
CCCGGUGCUCCUCCAGCACCAUAUCCGCUACCACCACCUUCGCCACCACCACUUGCAUGUCCAGCAUCGUGUCCUCCACCAGCAUAGCCACCUCCUGCCCCGCUUCCACCACCACCUCCUCCAGCAUAUCCAGCACCAUGCUCUCCUCCAGCUGCAUAGCCAGAACCACCACCGGCUCCACCUCCACUGCCACCUCCGCUGGCAUAACCAUGGUCACCUGCAGCUCCAUAUCCACCACCUCCACCGGAACCUCCUCCACCACCACCAGCAUAGCCUCCACCAGCAACACCACCCCCAGCGCCGCCACCAAUGCCAUGGCCUGCACCAUAGGCGCCUACCUCACCUCCAACACCUACAUGAUCAUAAGUGAGGAGUGUUCUAGCAGCUGAACAUAUUCCUAUGCCCAAUAACAGAAAGAAAACAAUGUU